Long non-coding RNA from Strigops habroptila (Kakapo), 688 nucleotides. RefSeq lists it as uncharacterized. The record is from RefSeq and is a predicted model, not a curated record. The transcript has 3 exons. NCBI's taxonomy places the organism in Eukaryota, Metazoa, Chordata, Aves, Psittaciformes, Psittacidae.
UAUCCAGCCCUCCAGUGUCUGGGAAAUCUGCUCCUUCAGAAACAGAGAGGCUGUUUACAUGAACUCCAGGGUUUGAUAUUAGAUCCAGAAUAAAUUAUUAAAUUGUUCAUGUGACCUAAAAUUCUACAGAAAACAGGACUGUAAAACUGCCAGAUCUGUCCCUUGAUAGGAAGCAGCUUUAUCUGGUUUUCUGCUUUUUUACAAGCUGUAUGUACAGCUCAUGGCCUUUAAUCUCACUACAGAUUUUGACAUUUUUGAACAUUACAUUGCAGCGCUACAGCAGGGAUGGAAAUAGCAUUACCCGAACCCAGAUUCUUCUGCACUUCGCAAAGUUAUGCACCCUGUUCUACAUUGCUCCAAGUUCAGAAAGGUGGCAACUUUUAUGCCUUUUCGUGCCCUGUAAAGUAUUAAAGGACAGCCAGUGCUGCUUUUGAUAUGAAAACAUAGAGUUAACUGAAAUAUUGAUACAGCUACAUUUCACAGAAGAAUGAAGUAAUCUGAGGUCUUUGGUGCUUGUCAGAUUUGCACCAUUUCAGGACUAAGUGCUAUAAACAUCUGUUUGUGUGAAGGCACACAGUGAGGAUGGGCAUCACUGCAGCUCUUGGAAUACAUAUAUGAGAAAUUAGUUAGUAUUUUACAGUUCUACCUGUUUGUAGCUGCAAGCUAUGCAAUUGCACACAAGGUUUUU